This 22-nucleotide non-coding RNA is filed under the name Arabidopsis thaliana (thale cress). The record is from RNAcentral. Lineage: Eukaryota; Viridiplantae; Streptophyta; Magnoliopsida; Brassicales; Brassicaceae.
CACUAGCCACGACAUAUCAAUA